RNAcentral lists this ribosomal RNA (468 nucleotides) under uncultured bacterium. RNAcentral's name for it is "partial 16S ribosomal RNA". It matches the Rfam family "Bacterial small subunit ribosomal RNA", at positions 28 to 507 of the family's 1533-position model. The record is from RNAcentral.
GACGAACGCUGGCGGCGUGCUUAACACAUGCAAGUCGAACGGAAAGGCCCUGAUUUUGUGGGGUGCUCGAGUGGCGAACGGGUGAGUAACACGUGAGUAACCUGCCCUUGACUUUGGGAUAACUUCAGGAAACUGGGGCUACUAUCGUAUCGGAGCUCCUGCUGCAUGGUGGGGGUUGGAACGUUUCGGCGGUUGGGGAUGGACUCGCGGCUUAUCAGCUAGUUGGUGGGGUAGUGGCUUACCAAGGCAGUGACGGGUAGCCCGCCUGAGAGGGUGGCCGGCCACAUUGGGACUGAGAUACGGACCAGACUCCUACGGGAGGCAGCAGUGGGGAAUAUUGCACAAUGGGCGGAAGCCUGAUGCAGCAGCGCCGCGUGCGGGAUGACGGCCUUCGGGUUGAAAACCGCAUUAGCCUGUGACCAAGCGUGAGUGACGGUAAUGGGUAAAGAAGCACCGGCUAACUACGUG